CUUGCUGGAUAACGUCCAGUGCGAGCGAUCGUGAGGAUAGUGCCACAGAAAGAUACCGCCAGGACAAUUAAAAAUUAAAAAUUAAAAAUGUAAAAUGAGUAAUUUUUAAUUUUUAAUUUUACAUUUUUAAUUGAUCUGGUAAGGGUGCAAAGGUGCGGUAAGAGCGCACCAGCAGUAUCGAGAGGUGCUGGCUCGGUAAACCCCGGUUGGGAGCAAGGCGAUAGGAACUACGGUUGGUCUUUUACCAGUUCCGCUCAAUGAGAGCCGCUAGAGGCGUUU
This 279-nucleotide RNase P RNA is filed under the name Nostoc sp. JC2012/1. RNAcentral's name for it is "partial rnpB". It matches the Rfam family "Bacterial RNase P class A", at positions 70 to 290 of the family's 367-position model. Rfam says of the family: Ribonuclease P (RNase P) is a ubiquitous endoribonuclease, found in archaea, bacteria and eukarya as well as chloroplasts and mitochondria. Its best characterised activity is the generation of mature 5'-ends of tRNAs by cleaving the 5'-leader elements of precursor-tRNAs. Lineage: Bacteria; Bacillati; Cyanobacteriota; Cyanophyceae; Nostocales; Nostocaceae. The record is from RNAcentral.